Zingiber officinale is the source of this 699-nucleotide long non-coding RNA. RefSeq lists it as uncharacterized. The transcript has 3 exons. The record is from RefSeq and is a predicted model, not a curated record. Lineage: Eukaryota; Viridiplantae; Streptophyta; Magnoliopsida; Zingiberales; Zingiberaceae.
GCCACCAGGACCGACCCAGGCCGCUGUCGCCGUGGGGAUCCCAGCGCCGCCGACGCCCUUCUCCCGUUUCUCUCUGCCCUAGUUUUGCACAGUGUCACCGCUACCACAACCGGCAACCGGCUGUCCUCCCUCUGCCGACGCCGACUCCUCCACUGUGCAGUGCCUAGCCGACUCCUUCCUUUGUCCUAGGUUCCCUCUUGUUGCUGGAUCCGAACCCUAACUCCUCUGGGUUGGGUUGUGGUCAGCCUACCCGACUGCAGCUUCUCCGGAUCUUGGCAGUAAGUUCUAUAGGAUUUGAGCAGUGUUGAGGCAUCAGGGAAUUUGGGUAAGGUUGGUGUUAAGUUAAUUACUGUUGAGGUGAGUAUGGGAAGAUGAACUUGAUGAUUUCGAUAGUUUGAGCUAUUGGUAUUACUUUUGUUAUGUAAGCAUAGGGUUAAUUAUAUUAAAUCCUGUGUAGACCUUAUAUGGUGAUUUCCUUUGCAGACAUUGUUGGAGAAAGCCCUAAUCGCUGUGAUCUUCCUUUUGUGUGAUCCAGAGGACCUUGACGCGAGACAAGUUUCUUAACGUCCGGAUUUGAACUGAUUGGAUCUUUCCUAUUGGAGGCGGGUACCUCUUGACUUAUCUUUUAUGAUAUUGUCAUUGGAUAUGCAUAGUAUUUUAUAACUACAUGCAAUGAACAUGUUUGCCUUUGGUAUGUCA